GUUGCUACGGAGGCCAUUUUGGCACAUGGCGCAUGCUACUCAAUCAAAAUAAUAAAUAAUGAAGGGAUUUUGAAUAAGCUAAAGUAUAGCAUUAAUCAUGCUGUCCUCGUUGUCUAUUUUAAGAGGAUGCAUCACGUCGUCAAGGACCAAACAAGGUGCUUUACCGAAAAAAAAAAGGGGACCAAACGCAAACAAGGUGCCUCGCGGAAGGCGUGGU
This 217-nucleotide long non-coding RNA is filed under the name Elaeis guineensis (African oil palm). RNAcentral's name for it is "long non-coding RNA (EGUI_LNC007487)". Lineage: Eukaryota; Viridiplantae; Streptophyta; Magnoliopsida; Arecales; Arecaceae. The record is from RNAcentral.